GUCACAAGGCUGUUAAUCCCUAUAAAUAAUAAUUUCUAGUGUAGUUCACUCCCUCGCCUCAUCUAGGGUUUUGAGACACCAUUUCCGGCCCCCAUCUCGAUCCGAUGGCUGUCUUCUCCGAUCUUCACACCGAGGCCGGCCUCAAAACCCUAGACGAGUUCCUCUCCGGCAAAACCUUCAUCUCCGGAGAUGAGAUUACCAAGGAUGAUGUGAAGGUUUAUGCGGCAGUGUCUUCGCCCGGUGAGGGGUUCUCUAAUGUUUCUCGUUGGUAUGAGACCGUCUCUUCAGCUCUUGCAGUGAGGUUUCCUGGCAAGGCUGCUGGAGUGAAUAUUGGUGGACAAGUUCCACUGUCGGAACCUGCACCUUCGUCUGAGGCUACAAAGGUGGUGGCCGAAGAAGAUGAUGAUGAUUUGGAUCUCUUCGGUGAUGAGACUGAGGAGGAGAAGAAGGCAGCUGAGGAGAGGGAGGCUGCUGUCAAAGCAUCCUCUAAAAAGAAAGAGAGUGGCAAGUCCUCUGUCCUAUUGGAGGUGAAGCCGUGGGAUGAUGAGACUGACAUGAAGAAGUUGGAAGCAGCAGUCCGCAGCAUUGAAAUGCCUGGUCUCUUAUGGGGUGCAUCAAAGCUUGUAGAAGUAGGUUAUGGUAUUAAGAAGCUGCAGAUCAUGAUGACUAUUGUGGAUGACCUUGUCUCCGUCGACACUCUUAUUGAAGAGCGUCUCACCGUUGAGCCUUUUAAUGAGUACAUUCAGAGUUGUGAUAUCGCUGCAUUCAACAAGAUCUAAAGCUUGUUUUCUGCCGUUUAGGACCAGUUUCUUUUACUUAUUUUCUGAGGAUAAUGUUUAAUCUUUCAACUUAUUGAGUGUUUU
Molecule: unclassified non-coding RNA, 863 nt
Filed under: Hevea brasiliensis (rubber tree)
Lineage: Eukaryota; Viridiplantae; Streptophyta; Magnoliopsida; Malpighiales; Euphorbiaceae
Source: RNAcentral